Cherax quadricarinatus is the source of this 597-nucleotide non-coding RNA. NCBI's taxonomy places the organism in Eukaryota, Metazoa, Arthropoda, Malacostraca, Decapoda, Parastacidae. The record is from RefSeq and is a predicted model, not a curated record.
GGCGGGGCUAGAAGCUGUGAAUCGACCCUCUGCAACCACAAAUAGGUGAGUAUACACACACUCCAGAUUCCAGGCAACCAUGCCUCUUUCCUUUUUAAUGACCUCCUCUUUCACAAGAUGUUUAUAUUUAUGUUUAUCACCCGGUAGGUUACAAGACAAAUGGCGCAAGUUGACAUGUGGUGAGAAACGAUACAAUGGCAAACAUUUCGCUCAUGGAGAGGCUUCUUCAGUCAUUUCAGUGGGAUGUACAUCGAGCAAAUUUAUAGAAGUGUAGUCAGGGAGACCGGCAAGGUUCCCCAAGUGACGGUCUACACCACUCGGCCACAAGUGACGCUCUCCACCACUCGGCCACAAAUGCCUCAAGUGACGCUCUCCACCACUCGGCCACAAAUGCCUCAAGACAUUUAUGACCAGAGUGGUGACUUAAAAAUAUAUUAUACAUAGAAAAAAAUAAAAAUAAUAAAAAUUAAGCAAAUUUUAAAUAAAAGAAAAGGAAAUACCUAAAGAAAGUAAUUCAAAAUAUUACUUUUAAAUGUAAUAUCCCAACAUAUUACCGCUAUUGAAAUUUUUGAGGCUUAAUUAAAAUGCAAAUUUUUA